GGGCCUAUAGCUCAGUCGGUAGAGCACUUGACUUUUAAUCAAGGGGUCGAAGGUUCGAAUCCUUCUGGGCCUACCA
This 76-nucleotide transfer RNA is filed under the name Alphaproteobacteria bacterium. RNAcentral's name for it is "tRNA-Lys". It matches the Rfam family "tRNA". Rfam says of the family: Transfer RNA (tRNA) molecules are approximately 80 nucleotides in length. Their secondary structure includes four short double-helical elements and three loops (D, anti-codon, and T loops). Further hydrogen bonds mediate the characteristic L-shaped molecular structure. tRNAs have two regions of fundamental functional importance: the anti-codon, which is responsible for specific mRNA codon recognition, and the 3' end, to which the tRNAs corresponding amino acid is attached (by aminoacyl-tRNA synthetases). tRNAs cope with the degeneracy of the genetic code in two manners: having more than one tRNA (with a specific anti-codon) for a particular amino acid; and 'wobble' base-pairing, i.e. permitting non-standard base-pairing at the 3rd anti-codon position. Lineage: Bacteria; Pseudomonadati; Pseudomonadota; Alphaproteobacteria. The record is from RNAcentral.